This 253-nucleotide ribosomal RNA is filed under the name uncultured bacterium. RNAcentral's name for it is "partial 16S ribosomal RNA". It matches the Rfam family "Bacterial small subunit ribosomal RNA", at positions 524 to 776 of the family's 1533-position model. The record is from RNAcentral.
UACGUAGGGUGCAAGCGUUAAUCGGAAUUACUGGGCGUAAAGCGUGCGCAGGCGGUUGUGCAAGACAGAUGUGAAAUCCUCGGGCUUAACCUGGGAAUUGCAUUUGUGACUGCACGGCUAGAGUGUGUCAGAGGGGGGUAGAAUUCCACGUGUAGCAGUGAAAUGCGUAGAUAUGUGGAGGAAUACCGAUGGCGAAGGCAGCCCCCUGGGAUAACACUGACGCUCAUGCACGAAAGCGUGGGGAGCAAACAGG